RNAcentral lists this long non-coding RNA (502 nucleotides) under Hordeum vulgare. RNAcentral's name for it is "long non-coding RNA (HVUL_LNC004168)". The record is from RNAcentral. Lineage: Eukaryota; Viridiplantae; Streptophyta; Magnoliopsida; Poales; Poaceae.
GAAUGGAUAUCGUUACAAGUACAUGUACAUAAGAGAUGAGUAUAUGGAAUUGGCUUGCACUCGCCACAAGCUACAACAUGUACGACACAAUAGAAUAAUAUAUUCAAUCACCAUGUAGAAGAGCAGGGUCCGACCACAGACAAAAACAAACGAUAAAAGAAUGACGUCCAUCCUUGCUAUCCCAGGCCGCCGGCAUGGAACCCAUCCUAGAUCCAUGAAGAAGAAGAAGAAGCUCCAAAUAGCAGAAUCAUCGCGCUCACAUCAAAGUAUCGCUUUACCUGUACCUGCAACUGUUGUUGUUGUGAUAUGUGAGCCAAAGGGACUCAAUAAUAUAAUUUCCAAAGGUAUCAAGACUAGCAAAGCUUAAUGGGUGAGGUAUGGUUAAGUCGUGAGACUGUAGCGAGCAACUAAGCAUUUAUUUUAGUGGCUAACUUACGAGUACAAGAAAUAUAGUGGGUGAUAUACAUAUAAAUGGACAUAAACUAAUAAUGAUCAAAUGAAU